This 1365-nucleotide long non-coding RNA is filed under the name Setaria italica (foxtail millet). RNAcentral describes it as "long non-coding RNA (SITA_LNC001382)". Lineage: Eukaryota; Viridiplantae; Streptophyta; Magnoliopsida; Poales; Poaceae. The record is from RNAcentral.
CCGAAAACCCCACAAACCACCGAGCCCCAGAACGAUAUCCUCCGAUCCCCCAAACCACCGCCUCCCAGUCUCAACCAUGGCGUUCCGGCUGAGCAACAACCUGAUCGGGAUCCUGAACGCGGUGACCUUCCUUCUCUCCAUCCCGAUCCUGGGCGCGGGCAUUUGGCUGGGCCACCGCGCCGACGGCACCGAGUGCGAGCGCUACCUCUCGGCGCCCGUAAUCGCGCUGGGGGUCUUCCUCCUCGUCGUCUCCAUCGCGGGGCUCGUCGGCGCCUGCUGCCGCGUCACCUGGCUGCUCUGGGUCUACCUCCUCGCUAUGUUCGUCCUCAUCGUCGCCCUCUUCUGCUUCACCGUCUUCGCCUUCGUCGUCACCAACCGGGGCGCCGGGGAGGCCGUGUCGGGCCGGGGGUACAAGGAGUACAGGCUUGGGGACUACUCCAACUGGCUGCAGAAGCGGGUGGAGAACCACAAGAACUGGAACAGGAUCAGGAGCUGCCUCCAGGGCUCCAAGGUCUGCAAGAACCUGCAGGACAAGAAGGAGUCGGUCACCGACUUCAUGCGUUCCGACCUCUCCCCGAUCGAGGUACUUGCUUAAUUACGUGAAAAAUGCAUUUUUCUUCCCUUAAUCUUCAGUCUCAGUUUUUUUUUGACAAAUCACCAAGACAGAUUCUAAAACAAACUCUAUCUAUCUGUAGCCGGCGUUUUGUCUUACAGAAAAAGAACACUUCUUUUUCAUUCACGUGUCAUUCAUACUUUAGUGGUCGCGAAUUGCGAUGUGACUUUGGGAGGAUAGUAGUAAUGCCAAAAGACUUUGAAGAAACGGUAGCUUGUGAAACGCAAAACCUUAUCUUAGGCCCGGCUGAUGGUUACUUGUACGGUUGUGCAUCUCGAUCAGACGUACACAAUUUGGAAUUCUGUCUAAAAAUGCAUUGGGCUUAGCGUUGAUAUUGUCAACGGAUUACUCCUAUUUUAUAGUGACAUAUCUUCGGUCCAUAUCAACCUUUACUACCUGCUCUGAAGUCUGAACUGCUCCCGAUGCUCUGACCGCUGCAUUAUUGAAGGAAGAAUUUUCGUUCAUCGCACAUGCUUUCAUUUCAACGCUCUGGUGCACUUGCACUCAACUUUUAGGUCGCGUAACCCAAUCGUUUCACGAAACGGCUCCACCUGAAACUAUCAUAAACAACUGAAACUGUUUUAUUUACUUGUAGUAUUUACCUAAACAACGUCAUGUGAUGUUGAAAGUUCCCAGUCAUGAGUAUUGAGUAGUAGCCCUGCAUAUGUGCUGCUCUGUUUCAAAGGCUCAUCGCUGUUCUUGUUGCUCGUGCAGUCUGGGUGCUGCAAGCCCCCCACCAGCUGCGGCUUCAC